RNAcentral lists this ribosomal RNA (274 nucleotides) under uncultured bacterium. Its description in RNAcentral is "partial 16S ribosomal RNA". It matches the Rfam family "Bacterial small subunit ribosomal RNA", at positions 523 to 796 of the family's 1533-position model. The record is from RNAcentral.
AUACGUAGGGGGCAAGCGUUGUCCGGAUUUACUGGGUGUAAAGGGCGCGCAGGCGGAUUAGCAAGUCAGAGGUGAAAUCCUACAGCUUAACUGUAGAACUGCCUUUGAUACUGCUGAUCUUGAGUACGGAAGAGAGAGACGGAAUUCCAGGUGUAGUGGUGAAAUACGUAGAUAUCUGGAAGAACACCAGUUGCGAAGGCGGUCUCUUGGUCCGAUACUGACGCUCAGGCGCGAAAGCGUGGGUAGCAAACAGGAUUAGAAACCCGUGUAGUCC